Tricholoma furcatifolium is the source of this 81-nucleotide non-coding RNA. Lineage: Eukaryota; Fungi; Basidiomycota; Agaricomycetes; Agaricales; Tricholomataceae. The record is from the annotation of a GenBank genome assembly.
AGCAGCAUGGCGCAGCUGGAAGCGCGCAGGGCCCAUACUCUCGUCACCCUGAGGUCACUCGAUCGAAACGAGUUGCUGCUA